AUGCACAGGGAUCCGCAUGUAACUACGGGCGCAGGACAGUCGAGGCGGUCAGCUUGGCUACCGCCAGUAGUGCACGACACCAAGAUUAAUGCUGACAGCGGCUUUUCCAAGAUUGGCGACAAGGGCGCUUCGGCAGCAGUAUGCCGCGACAAAAACGGGAACUACCUGGGGGCUUCAACGAUCAUUUUCGAAGGCCUCGUGGAUCCGGUGAUACUCGAAGCACAAGCAUGCAGCGAAGCGCUAGCACUCGCUACAGACUUACAGGUCCAGUCCAUUUGUGUGGCCACAGAUUGUUCUGAAGUGGUAACAAGGAUCAAGGAUGAUAGCCCAUGCAAGUUCUUCCCAAUCCUGCAAGAUAUCAAGCACCAGACAAGAGUGUUUAGGGCAGUCGAAUUUAUCCAUGAGAGUAGAAAACAUAAUGGAGAGGCUCAUGCUUUAGCUAAGGCUGCAGCAUCCCUCCCCUCAGGACGCCAUGUGUGGCUUACAUCUAUGCCCGAUAUUAUCUGUAUUCCAAUGACUGUCCAUGUUUAA
This 531-nucleotide ribosomal RNA is filed under the name Triticum aestivum (bread wheat). Its description in RNAcentral is "partial small subunit ribosomal RNA". Lineage: Eukaryota; Viridiplantae; Streptophyta; Magnoliopsida; Poales; Poaceae. The record is from RNAcentral.